UACGGAGGGUGCGAGCGUUGUCCGGAAUCACUGGGCGUAAAGGGCGCGUAGGCGGCGCGGGAAGGCGGCGGUGAAAGUCCGGGGCUCAACCCCGGAUCGGCCGUGGCGACUCCCGCGCUGGAGCACAGUAGAGGCAGGUGGAAUUCCGGGUGUAGCGGUGGAAUGCGUAGAGAUCCGGAAGAACACCGGUGGCGAAGGCGGCCUGCUGGGCAGUGGCUGACACUGAGGCGCGACAGCGUGGGGAGCAAACAGG
Molecule: ribosomal RNA, 253 nt
Filed under: uncultured bacterium
Lineage: Bacteria
Description: partial 16S ribosomal RNA
Rfam family: Bacterial small subunit ribosomal RNA
Source: RNAcentral